UACGGAGGAUGCGAGCGUUAUCCGGAUUCAUUGGGUUUAAAGGGUACGUAGGUGGCCUUAUAAGUCAGUGGUGAAAACCUGUCGCUUAACGAUAGGCGUGCCAUUGAUACUGUUUGGCUUGAGUACAGUUGAGGUAGGUGGAAUGUGUAGUGUAGCGGUGAAAUGCAUAGAUAUUACACAGAACUCCGAUUGCGAAGGCAUCUUACUAAGCUGAGACUGACACUGAUGUACGAAAGCGUGGGGAUCGAACAGGAUUAGAUACCCUGGUAGUCCACGCCGUAAACGAUGCUCACUGGCUGUAUGCGAUAUAUUGUAUGUGGCCAAGCGAAAGCGCUAAGUGAGCCACCUGGGGAGUACGCCGGCAACGGUGAAACUCAAAGGAAUUGACGGGGGCCCGCACAAGCGGAGGAACAUGUGGUUUAAUUCGAUGAUACGCGAGGAACCUUACCUGGGCUUAAAUGGGAGCAGACGGAUUUGGAAACAGGUCUUUCUUCGGACUGCUUUCAAGGUGCUGCAUGGUU
RNAcentral lists this ribosomal RNA (521 nucleotides) under uncultured bacterium. RNAcentral describes it as "bacterial SSU rRNA". It matches the Rfam family "Bacterial small subunit ribosomal RNA", at positions 524 to 1050 of the family's 1533-position model. The record is from RNAcentral.